RNAcentral lists this long non-coding RNA (617 nucleotides) under Phoenix dactylifera (date palm). RNAcentral's name for it is "long non-coding RNA (PDAC_LNC013721)". The record is from RNAcentral. Lineage: Eukaryota; Viridiplantae; Streptophyta; Magnoliopsida; Arecales; Arecaceae.
GGAAGGAAAGUAUAAAUUGUCUUUGAUAUGAUAAGAGAGGUUUGACCUAAGAUAAGUGUAGGAAAGUCAACAAUGGCAUAUCGGUUAUACCAUGCUCAUAUAUUAUUUAAAUGACUUGAAAGUUCAAACUUGAUAUAGAUUUUGAUGUGAUUGUACUUUUGAUUUUGCUGCUAAUUAUUAGAGUGAGAUUUGUACGUAGAUCUUCCAUAGUAUUGGAGUGAGCUAAGAAGAUUUUAUAAUAUUGAAAGGAAUGUUUUUCGAAGUUGAAUAUGUAUGUGAAUCUGUAUGUGGUAUUGGCAUGUUUGGAUAUUACAAAUAGGUCUAUUUUCUAUUGAUAUAUUUGAUUUUAUUUUGAGGCUAUUGAGUUGGCAUAUUGAUGGGGGAAUUCUAAUUAUUUGAAUUUAUAUAUUUGGAUUGGGCUACUGAAUUUUUCUUAUAAUUGUUGGAGACUAUUGGAUGUGUUAACUUGAACUAAAGUCUAGAUUUAUGAUCUAACCAAGAAUCUUUGCCAUUGAGUAGAGAUUUAUAUUUUGAGAUGCUUAUGUGAGUUAUCAUAUGUAGCAUUGAUCAUACAUAUUAAGAAUCUUGGUGAAGAAAGAUUUGAAGGUUGAUAGAGU